CCUACGGGAGGCAGCAGUGGGGAAUUUUGGGCAAUGGGCGAAAGCCUGACCCAGCAACGCCGCGUGAAUGAAGAAGGCUUUCGGGUCGUAAACUUCUUUUGACAGGGAAGAGCAGAAGACGGUACCUGUCGAAUAAGCUACGGCUAACUACGUGCCAGCAGCCGCGGUAAUACGUAGGGGGCAAGCGUUGUCCGGAUUUACGGGGUGUAAAGGGCGUGUAGCCGGGCUGACAAGUCAGAUGUGAAAUCCGGGGGCUCAACCCCCGAACUGCAUUUGAAACUGUUGAUCUUGAGUAUCGGAGAGGCAGGCGGAAUUCCAUGUGUAGCGGUGAAAUGCGUAGAUAUUAGGAGGAACACCGGUUGCGAAGGCAGCUUACCAAGCUACUUCUGACGUUGAGGCACGAAAGCGUGGGGAGCAAACAGGAUUAGAUACCCUUGUAGUC
Molecule: ribosomal RNA, 442 nt
Filed under: uncultured bacterium
Lineage: Bacteria
Description: partial 16S ribosomal RNA
Rfam family: Bacterial small subunit ribosomal RNA
Source: RNAcentral